This 181-nucleotide microRNA precursor is filed under the name Nicotiana tabacum (common tobacco). RNAcentral's name for it is "miR6025e stem-loop (nta-MIR6025e)". The record is from miRBase by way of RNAcentral. Lineage: Eukaryota; Viridiplantae; Streptophyta; Magnoliopsida; Solanales; Solanaceae.
CGUACCUGGAUGUUAUCUCAGUGUUGGCAUGCAUAAGUUGGGUAAGACAUAUCUGAUCAAAAAUAUUUUUUGAGAUGAGAUGGAAUAUAUAUAUAUAUAUAUAUAUAUAUAUAUAUAUAUAUAUAUUGGUGUUUUACCUGGUCCAGGCAUGCCAAUUAUAGAGAUGACAUCUAGGUUGGGG